This is a long non-coding RNA of Crotalus tigris (Tiger rattlesnake), 2055 nucleotides long. RefSeq lists it as uncharacterized. The record is from RefSeq and is a predicted model, not a curated record. The transcript is spliced from 2 exons. NCBI's taxonomy places the organism in Eukaryota, Metazoa, Chordata, Lepidosauria, Squamata, Viperidae.
CAGAAGGAAACAGAAGCACCAGGAAGAAUCCACUGUAAUCCGUGGCACAUGGUCAUCUGAGGAUAAAAACCUACAUCCCAUAGGCAGAGCAUCAGUGUUUCACCCAUCCGGUUCCCUUAAUAAAGCAUCCAGAUCUACGAACACAAUCUGCUUUAUUGGAGGAUAAGUGGGUUUAGCUGCAUGUCAAGCUGCACACAGAGUAAGGAUAGAACAGCUACCUAUGGCUGCAAAAGCUGAAGCAUGAAAAAAACUAGACAGGAAGAAAAUCAACACAUUUGACUUGUAAUGUUGGAAAAGGCUCCUGCACAUUUUUUGGACAGCAAAGGUGACAGACAAGUAAGCACUGGUGCAUAUAAAAUCAGGCAUAUCACUGGAAGGCAAAAAUCACAAAAUUCUACCUUACUUAUUUCAGUCAUGUCAUGCAAUCAAACUCACUGGAAAAGAUAGUUAUGCUUGGAAUGGUAAGCAGUAAAAGGAAACAAAGCCAUCAAAAAAAAACCCAACAACACAGUGGCUAGACACUGCCAGCAUAAAACAGUGGAAACAUAGGAAAGAAGCUGUACAAAUCAGAAAAUGUGGCCCAUAGAGUUGCCAAGAAUCAGACAUGAUUGAAUGGAUAACAUCACCAUAGUCUUGGACAUUUUAUUCCUUUGGUUGUUUGCAUAAGUCAUCAAAAACAAAUAAACAAAACAGGAGAGAUGCAAAUUAUGAUGCAAAUCAUGAUGCUAUUAUGAUCCUGAGACUCAGCAAUCUCACAGCACAAGGCCAGCCUAUGACAUUUUGUUCUUUAAAGGGAAACAUCAAUUGCAUCUCUUUAUUCCUCAUUAAACCUGCUGAAUGACAACCUGUAUUAUAUUGGCAGGAUUUGCUAUUUUUCCAUGACAGGAUUUGCUAUUUUUCCAUGACAUGCAACAUCAACUGCCUGAAGGAUUUGCAUCAUUUUGCCUAAGAAUAAGGCUGAUCUAGUAACCUUUUUUAAAAAAUAAAGUAGCUCUGCAGGAGUUUUAGAUCAGAGACUAAUUAGCCUUUUCGUGCUUCUUUCAUAUAGCUCCUGGGAAGCUUCAGUCCACUGAAAGAGAAGUGAAAUUAUCUCAGUUAAGUUUACAUUCCAUGGUAAAUUCACCCAAGGGACCAUUCCUGAUUCAGUACCCAUUUUCAGCUUUUUUUUUCAACCUUGGACAUUCCAGAAAUGUUGUGUUUAGAAUUUCAGCCACUGCAAAAGAUUGGCAGAAACACAAUUAUUUCAUUAUAUAAGAUAAAGUUUGUUGGAUGCCAUCAUUAGUAAGAUGUUAAUGUCACUUGCAUGAUUAGGGAAAUGGCAGAGAUAUAAAUAUAUGCAUUAUAUAAAUAAGCUUUUAAUAGUAUGCAAAAACAUGAGACAGAGAUGUAGAAUAAAUAUAAAUAAUAUAAAUAAAGCAUAUGUUAUAUGUUAAACAGAUGGGAAAGUUUACACAGAUACAUAUAUUGAGACUGUUAUUGCUGACAUCUUUCCAGAUUCCCCAUAUAAGAUUAGGAUGAAUUGGUGUGCAGUUAUUUUGGAGAAUAUUGGCUAGGAAUUCAAGCUAACAUCUAAGAGUUCCAUAAAGCAACACCUUUAGGAGAAAACACACUGAGACCUAUACCUUUUCUUAUUCUCUCAUUCAAGGAAUGUUUCUUAAUUCAACCAAACUAAAACUGAAUUCUAAAUGAGGAUUAGGUAGCAAGGCCAGUUCUCCCCUAUACUAAAUGAAUUUUCAGAACAUCCUAUCCUGUCCUUGUUGAUAUAUAUGUAGAUAAAAAGGUACCACAAAACAUUUACAGAGCAAGCCUGUAAAUGCAUGUUAACUUAGAACUAGUCUCUCCUGUGCAUUAAGAAGCUUGCUUGUGACAGUGUGGUUAGGAUUUACAGUUCAUAAUGUUAAAGAUUUGGAUUUAGAACCUGACUCUGCAUAACUAAUACCAAUGUUACUACAGAAGAAGACCUUUGGAAUUCUAACAAUUCCCCCAGAAAUGUAUAUAAGCACUAAUGAAUUAUAAUAAUAGAAAAUUAAUAAAAUACUUUUAAGGGUAAAAAAA